UACGUAGGGUGCGGGCGUUGUCCGGAAUUAUUGGGCGUAAAGAGCUUGUAGGCGGUCUGUCGCGUCUGCUGUGAAAAUCCGGGGCUCAACCCCGGACUUGCAGUGGGUACGGGCAGACUAGAGUGUGGUAGGGGAGACUGGAAUUCCUGGUGUAGCGGUGAAAUGCGCAGAUAUCAGGAGGAACACCGGUGGCGAAGGCGGGUCUCUGGGCCGUAACUGACGCUGAGGAGCGAAAGCAUGGGGAGCGAACAGG
RNAcentral lists this ribosomal RNA (253 nucleotides) under uncultured bacterium. Its description in RNAcentral is "partial 16S ribosomal RNA". It matches the Rfam family "Bacterial small subunit ribosomal RNA", at positions 524 to 776 of the family's 1533-position model. The record is from RNAcentral.